Molecule: long non-coding RNA, 1519 nt
Organism: Saccostrea cuccullata (small rock oyster)
Lineage: Eukaryota; Metazoa; Mollusca; Bivalvia; Ostreida; Ostreidae
Exons: 4
Source: RefSeq, a predicted model, not a curated record
CUCUAUAAGCACCAAAAUUUGAUGGAAAGCCAUAGUCACCGAUUUUAAUAAAACUUUUGUAAAUUAAUACAUACUACUAGUCAAGUAUACUGGUAUAUGCAAAAUGACGGGAUACUGCUGUUUCCAUGGAAACCAGCAAGUCAUACUUUUGUCACAUUUGCUAUUAUUUCCUUUAUAAUGUAUGUUGCUGAAACUCAUAAACGCAGCAACACAAUUCAACAAAACUAAUCCUGUAGAAAGAUUAUAGAUAUAUAAGUUAACCUUCAAAAAAUUGGAGGUGUGUUUUUUAAAAUAAAGAAAAUAAAGCCUUGUAAAUUUGCUGUUUUUCAAGAGAAAAGUGCUAAAUUUUAUCAAGAGUUAUUUCCCUUCGUGUAACUCUUUUGUGUUUCCUGUGAAAAAAGGAAUGUUUUCUGCCAGCAGAAGACUUUCAGAUUGGUUUGCUGCUUCGUUUUUACUACAAAUUCCACUUGUCAGAAGAUGUAUAUAAUUUGAAUUCAGUUGAUAUGAAUAAUAAGGACAUAAUACUAACAGAAUGUGGUAUUUUGCCGUCCAGUUCUGAAAAUAGGGAAAUUUGUUCCACACAUUUUUCUCUGCCGUUGAAACAAAACAGUGACUGAGUGAGGUACGAAGAAAUUUGGUGUCAAGUGCCAUUCCUUAUUUUAAAAAAAAUCUGGUGAAUCAUAAUUCAUUCCAUGAGAAGCAGAAAUCCAACAGACUGAUCCCAGUCACCGGUGUACUCUAAAUACACAGAGGCCAGAGGACUUGUUCUUCCUGGAACCUCUCUAUGCACCAGCCUGUCUCGUGAAGUUGAAUGCUCAAACAAUAUGAAGAGGAUGAAAAUCUAGCUGACAAUUAAAACAGGAAAUAUGAUCAGGCUCAGCCACACCUUAAUGAACAUAAAGAGCUACUUCAUUGAAGGCCAUGAUAUGUUCUAACAGCUGAUUCAAUAAAAGAGGUUAUUGAACAAUCUCUGAAAACUGUCAAGUAAAGAGUCAGAACAAUUGUAGAUACAUGCACAGAAAAGAAGAAAAAACUCUACUGAAACCAUGGCUUAGAUAUCAACAUAAAAUAACUUCUUUUCUCAAGUAUAUCUCUUUCUCAAGUAUUCCAAAAGUGGAUCUUUUUCAAAUUCAAAGUGAAGUAUCACAGGGAGCAUGUGAGAUUGUGAAACAGUCUGCCUACAAAAAUUAAAAGGGAGGAAAACAUCUACAAGUGUACCAAAGAUGGUUGCACACUAUUGUUCCCUAUAUAUUUUCCUUAUGAUUUUCAUGUACAGUCUUCUGUGUGAUUGUUAAGUUGGGUGCAUUAGUAGACUUCUCUGAAUCUUGUGUAGAAUUUUACAAUUUAAAUUCUGAGGUAAAAUCCUGUUUUUAGUGUUCAUUCAGUUAUAGUAAUGGGCCACUCUCCUUUUGAACAGCUUCAUGUCAAAAUACCUCUCAACAUUGAAUGCUUAUCAAAUUGUUUUAACCGAAUAAAAACAUGUAUCAUAUUUCCAAAACCAGAUUUGUUCUUUUUUUUU